RNAcentral lists this ribosomal RNA (200 nucleotides) under uncultured bacterium. Its description in RNAcentral is "partial 16S ribosomal RNA". It matches the Rfam family "Bacterial small subunit ribosomal RNA", at positions 8 to 230 of the family's 1533-position model. The record is from RNAcentral.
AGAGUUUGAUCCUGGCUCAGAGCGAACGCUGGCGGCAUGCUUAACACAUGCAAGUCGCACGGGCGGGGGUGACCCUGUCAGUGGCGGACGGGUGAGUAACGCGUAGGUAUCUGUCCAGAGGUGGGGGAUAACCGUGGGAAACUACGGCUAAUACCGCAUGACACCUGAGGGUCAAAGGCGAAAGCUGCCUGUGGAGGAGC